GUGGGCGUGAUGAUUAUUUCCCCAGAUGAUCGAAGCUGAAAUUACUGUGCUACAUACGUUUCUCUGUUUCAGAGAUCCAAGCCAGAUAAUCUGAUCCAU
RNAcentral lists this small nucleolar RNA (99 nucleotides) under Ipomoea nil (Japanese morning glory). Its description in RNAcentral is "Small nucleolar RNA Z103". It matches the Rfam family "Small nucleolar RNA Z103". Rfam says of the family: This family consists of several snoRNA Z103 sequences which are members of the C/D class of snoRNA which contain the C (UGAUGA) and D (CUGA) box motifs. This family seems to be found exclusively in plants. C/D box small nucleolar RNAs are known to act as a methylation guides for 18S ribosomal RNA. The record is from Rfam by way of RNAcentral. Lineage: Eukaryota; Viridiplantae; Streptophyta; Magnoliopsida; Solanales; Convolvulaceae.